GUGCCAGCAGCCGCGGUAAGACAGAGGGUGCAAACGUUGUUCGGAAUUACUGGGCGUAAAGCGUGUGUAGGCGGCUUUGCAAGUCGGGUGUGAAAGCCCCAGGCUCAACCUGGGAAGUGCACUCGAUACUGCUAAGCUAGAGUGUCGGAGAGGUUGGUGGAAUUCUCGGUGUAGAGGUGAAAUUCGUAGAUAUCGAGAGGAACACCGGUGGCGAAGGCGGCCAACUGGACGAACACUGACGCUGAGACACGAAAGCGUGGGGAGCAAACAGGAUUAGAUACCCUGGUAGUCC
Molecule: ribosomal RNA, 292 nt
Filed under: uncultured bacterium
Lineage: Bacteria
Description: partial 16S ribosomal RNA
Rfam family: Bacterial small subunit ribosomal RNA
Source: RNAcentral